CAGUAGCCGCGGUAAUACGAAGGGGGCUAGCGUUGUUCGGAAUCACUGGGCGUAAAGGGUGCGUAGGCGGGAUCUUAAGUCAGGGGUGAAAUCCCGAGGCUCAACCUCGGAACUGCCUUUGAUACUUGGGUCCUUGAGUCCGGAAGAGGUGAGUGGAACUGCGAGUGUAGAGGUGAAAUUCGUAGAUAUUCGCAAGAACACCGGUGGCGAAGGCGGCUCACUGGUCCGGAACUGACGCUGAGGCACGAAAGCGUGGGAGCAAACAGGAUUAGAUACCCCCGUAGUCCCUGUCUCUUAUACC
Molecule: ribosomal RNA, 301 nt
Filed under: uncultured bacterium
Lineage: Bacteria
Description: partial 16S ribosomal RNA
Rfam family: Bacterial small subunit ribosomal RNA
Source: RNAcentral